AACUUGAGGGAGUUGAAAUUGAGGACACUGAUUUGGUGCGAUGGAGAGCUCAGCGAGGAAGUCUCCUAAGCCUUAACCUCCUAAGCAUUCGUCAUUGCUACAAAUUACAACAACUCAAUUGGACGCGUGAUCCCUCAAUGGUUGCCACUGCAAUUGAGUUAGUUGAGUGCAAUCCCUUAGCCGUCGCUUCUGCCAUGCAAUUAAAGCCUGAAUAUAUGUUUCAAAUUCGUUCUCACUCUUCUUUUUGAUAUCAAGGUUAAUAGGAAAUGUGAGGGCAAAAGUUGCCAGAUAGCAAGGUAUGAUUUAUUUCAAUUGUAUUAGUAUCAGCAUGUUUUUUCUUAAGAUAAGCAUAUUGAUUUGUUGGAUUUUGUUGAGGUUUAUAAAACCCAAAUAAAAUUACUGUAACCGACACUUCUGUGAGUUAAUUUGUGUGAAAAAUACUAAAGACAACCGUGGUAAAGUUUCAUAGAAAUUAGGAAACAAUAUGUGAUAAAUAAGUAGGAAAAUAUAUUUGAUUAUGUUUUAGCAUGUUGGUUUGCAUGUUGUAGAAAACUCACUACAAGAGCAAUGUUACUCCCUGCGACCACAAUUAUGUGUCUCACAUUUCCUUUUUUCGUCCGUCUACAAUUAAGUGUCUCAUUUACUUUUUACUACUUUUGGUAAUGGACCACACAUUUCAUUAACUCGUCUCACUCACAUUUCAUUAUAAAACUAGCUUAAGUGUUCACAUUAAUUAUGUAGGAGUUUAUUCACUUCUAAUUCAAAAAAUGGUUGACAUACUAGAGAAAGAGUGAUAAGCUUAUUUGUGUCACCUAUUUUCGAUCAAAUUCAAUAGAUAAAAUGGAACUUAUCCGCAUGUAAAGAUGCUUUUGUUGCAGGGCCUAAGUUAAACAAUGAAGGGAUUUCCAAUUGUGAUUGAGACAAAGUUACUUAUCUUAGAGCGCGUUACCUGCUCACAUGUGCCGCGCGCGUGGUUACUGUUCUGCGGUUGGGAGGAAGUAUUUAAUAAGAAACUGUAUCACAAACAAAGAUAUUCGAAAGGAGGACCGAUGACAAUGCCCAACUAACCGUAGAUGUCAGGAUAACAUUAAGCUUUGCCUUGUUAUACUUAUUUAGGAUUGUUGGUUGUUAGUACUGAUCAAAUGUGUGUGCUAAUCAAUUCUGCCUAUUUGUUGGCUUAUUUGUAUUGCAAUUUGCUUCCUUAUCUAUGCUAUACUUUUUUGCUUUUUCCUCA
Molecule: non-coding RNA, 1234 nt
Organism: Salvia hispanica
Lineage: Eukaryota; Viridiplantae; Streptophyta; Magnoliopsida; Lamiales; Lamiaceae
Source: RefSeq, a predicted model, not a curated record